RNAcentral lists this non-coding RNA (657 nucleotides) under Pongo abelii (Sumatran orangutan). The record is from RNAcentral. Lineage: Eukaryota; Metazoa; Chordata; Mammalia; Primates; Hominidae.
GAGAAAGGGCUUUCUUAACCCACAAGUGUACAGGCCUUGAAGGCUCAUGACUUAGGGUCAUUGUCACCCAUUCAUUCAUUCACUCAAAUCUGGAAAGCAUUCAAAAAAUAAUUUUUAAAAAUCAUCUCUGGGGAAAAGUCUGGUGUCAGGCUCAGAAAGGAUUUGUUUCAUAUCCAGAGCCAUGUCUGGGUUGUGUUCUCUGCUAUCGAGGAACCCGAGGGCUCUCAUUCAGCCUCAAGGGCUAUGGAAGUGACUCCUGGUAGGUGGCUCCAGCACUGACUCUGGGCCCUCAGGGUCGAGGUUGCGGUGAAGACCGCGAUCCGCAUCGCCUACUGCCCCAGAUCGGAUUGGAGGGAGCCAGCUCAGCAAGGCCCACAUUCUCCCGGUGAAGCCACAGAACCACAGGGAGAAAUCCAUGGACUUGGCCUCGCUCUCUAGGGGACCAGAUGUGCAGAGGUAAUGAAUACCAGGGAAUCAGGAAACCACUGGAUCAGUUCUUUGAGCCAUAGAACAACACUCAUCCCAGCAGCUGGGAAGCUAUCUGCAAAAGUCCAUCUGCAGAAAGGGCUUCCUGGUCUUGCGUGUGGCUGGGCCAUUUCUCUGGAUGCAGGUUUUUCAUUAUACAGUCUUCUCAAAGGACCACCUGCUCUCAACACC